Molecule: long non-coding RNA, 531 nt
Organism: Mus musculus (house mouse)
Lineage: Eukaryota; Metazoa; Chordata; Mammalia; Rodentia; Muridae
Product: predicted gene, 39206
Exons: 3
Source: RefSeq, a predicted model, not a curated record
CACGCCUAACCGACUUCACGUGCAGACUUCCUUGUGCGGCAAUCCUUGUGUCUAAUGUACUCUCAGUGUCUAGGGAUUAGCAACUACGCAGCCUCUUACAUUCUUUAGUCCAUGUGUUCUUCCUUCCAUCUUCAAAGACAGCAAUAGCAAGCUGAAUCCUCGACUCACACCAAUCCAGUCCUCCCAACCCUGCUUUCUGCUUUCAGAUAUUUGUUUCAUUUGAUACAGUUGAACCUCUUGAAAAAUGGACUCACUGGAUUCUAACCAUGCUCAAACAGUGAUAUUCAGCUGUAGUACCUCAAAAGUGCCAGAAGAAUUUGUUAUAUCGGGUAAUGGCCUGAACACGAGGAGCUCUUUGGUUCAAUGUAUUUCACAUGAUAAUAAUUUUGAGAUAUUCUGAAGUUCAGUUUGCUAAAACAUCUCCAAAUGAUGAAAGGCUUCAAUACAAUUAAACGGUUUGAAACGCAGCUUAUUUGUAAUGAUAAAGGAACAAAACAAUAAAUUUACAAAAAAGUAUCACCUCUUCCUAGA